RNAcentral lists this long non-coding RNA (428 nucleotides) under Ictidomys tridecemlineatus (thirteen-lined ground squirrel). Its description in RNAcentral is "lncRNA (ENSSTOG00000034010.1)". Lineage: Eukaryota; Metazoa; Chordata; Mammalia; Rodentia; Sciuridae. The record is from RNAcentral.
UGCAGUGUUUUUUCUUUCAAAAUGAAAAUGUCUUUAUUCAAGCUCCCUGGGAAGAGUUCCACUCCCACCCUUGUUGAAUGAAGCUUGCCACUGAGCAAGCCCUUUAGCCACCAGCCUCUCAACAGUCCACAUGUCUAACAUGGGAAGAGCUAACACUCACAUAGUGCUUCCUGGUGUGCCAGGCUUGGUUCUAAGAACAUUAGAGAUUAUAUUGUGUGUGUUUUUUUUUAAUCAGAAAGUUUGCUAUAUAUGGAGAAACCAAGGCAUGGAGAGGUUAGUGUCCAAAGCUGGCAUUAUCCAUCCAUCCAGGGCUUUCCAGAAUCAUAAUUACUAUCACAUAGGGCCUUUUGUCAGCUUUUCAUCACUGUGACCAUAGUACCUGGAUAUAGCAACUUGAAGCAGGAGAGUUAUUUUGGCUCGUGGUUUCA